Non-coding RNA from Chiloscyllium plagiosum (whitespotted bambooshark), 433 nucleotides. NCBI's taxonomy places the organism in Eukaryota, Metazoa, Chordata, Chondrichthyes, Orectolobiformes, Hemiscylliidae. The record is from RefSeq and is a predicted model, not a curated record.
GCAACAUGCCUGCAGAGAUGGGUGCUGGCUCCAUCAACUUACUCAUGUGAAAUCAGAUACUGACAAGUGGAGAAGCAUGACAAUACAGAUGCUUUGUUAAAGCUACCAAGAGGAGUAAGAAUUUUCUUGACUGGAACCUGAAAAUUGUAUUUUUCCCAGGAUGACAAGGCCGUCCCUGGAUUUGGAUUCCACAGUGAAAGACUUUGCCCACAGAGUGGAAAAGGAGUGACAUAGACAGAGUUGACAAGAAUAUGAAACUCAGGACUUGCCACCAUUUUAAACAUGAGCCAGAGACAGUGUGAAACAAAUGAAGCUGAGUUUCACAAGUGUUACAGGGAUUUGUGAAGUUAUGUCUACCAAGUCAAAUUUGAAAAGUAUGGGUGGAGUUUACAACUACGCUGAUUUUAUCUUCCCUCUGUUUGAGGGACAAUAG